AGUUCGGAUUGUAGUCUGCAACUCGACUACAUGAAGCUGGAAUCGCUAGUAAUCGCGAAUCAGAAUGUCGCGGUGAAUACGUUCCCGGGUCUUGUACACACCGCCCGUCACACCAUGGGAGUCGGAAAUGCCCGAAGUCAGUGACCCAACCGAAAGGAGGGAGCUGCCGAAGGUGGAGCCGGUAACUGGGGUGAAGUCGUAACAAGGUAAC
This 211-nucleotide ribosomal RNA is filed under the name uncultured bacterium. RNAcentral describes it as "partial 16S ribosomal RNA". It matches the Rfam family "Bacterial small subunit ribosomal RNA", at positions 1290 to 1500 of the family's 1533-position model. The record is from RNAcentral.